Molecule: long non-coding RNA, 223 nt
Filed under: Serinus canaria (Common canary)
Lineage: Eukaryota; Metazoa; Chordata; Aves; Passeriformes; Fringillidae
Description: lncRNA (ENSSCAG00000007035.1)
Source: RNAcentral
CAGAGCUCUCAGCCCCCAGGGCCUCAAGGCAGGAUUAUUGACUCCACGCUGUGGGAAUUUCCCUCCUGAUCACCUGCACCAGGUGUCCAGGGGCAGAUGAGGGGCUGGGACUGGAGCAGGAGCCUGGAUUAACACUGGACAGCUCUGAUCCCCACUGGAGCGUGGAUCCAGCUGAGGAAGGUAAGGAAUCAGCUCCUUACUUUUUCCGGAUUGGUAAAUCAAA